UGGUUUUUGGUUUGUGACGGAUAGUUGGAUGUCUGCUUGCGCAGCAACUUCUAUGCGUUCUUACCUCUUCAAUGUUGUUCCAUGGUAGUUUGCCUUGAACAUAAGUGGGUUCCUGUGUUGCAUACCUAAUUGAUGGCAUUGUGUUGGUUGAAAAAUGUUGCCUUUCGUUAUGUGUUGCUUGCAACGCCAAUGAACCUCGAAGCGGUCUUUAUGGUCCAUCUUGUCGUUGCGGAUGUGUUGAUGGCAUGGCCUUAUGAAGUGUCGCUUGGUCUCUUGGAUAUGGAUCCUUGCGUAGGCAUAUGGUCAUUCAUGAUCAUGUCUUUUGCCUACAAGAGUGUUUUGCUUUUCUAGACGAUUGUCUUUCUUGCUCUGACUUGUUGGUGCAAGGUAGGCUAUGUCGAAGAGGAGUGCUACCUGGU
This 419-nucleotide unclassified non-coding RNA is filed under the name Lactuca tenerrima. RNAcentral's name for it is "contains 3' external transcribed spacer, ETS". The record is from RNAcentral. Lineage: Eukaryota; Viridiplantae; Streptophyta; Magnoliopsida; Asterales; Asteraceae.